AGGGAUGUAGCUCAGUGGUAGAGUGCUUGCCUAGCAAACAAGAUGCAUUGGGUUCUAUCCUCAGCAUCAAAA
Molecule: transfer RNA, 72 nt
Filed under: Marmota monax (woodchuck)
Lineage: Eukaryota; Metazoa; Chordata; Mammalia; Rodentia; Sciuridae
Description: tRNA.Ala
Rfam family: tRNA
About the family: Transfer RNA (tRNA) molecules are approximately 80 nucleotides in length. Their secondary structure includes four short double-helical elements and three loops (D, anti-codon, and T loops).
Source: RNAcentral